This 253-nucleotide ribosomal RNA is filed under the name uncultured bacterium. RNAcentral describes it as "partial 16S ribosomal RNA". It matches the Rfam family "Bacterial small subunit ribosomal RNA", at positions 524 to 776 of the family's 1533-position model. The record is from RNAcentral.
UACGUAGGGGGCAAGCGUUGUUCGGAAUUACUGGGCGUAAAGGGCGCGUAGGCGGCACAGCAAGUCGGGCGUGAAAGCCCGGGGCUCAACCCCGGAAUGGCUUUCGAAACUGCUGAGCUAGAGUACAGAAGGGGCAACCGGAAUUCCCAGUGUAGCGGUGAAAUGCGUAGAUAUUGGGAAGAACACCUGAGGCGAAGGCGGGUUGCUGGGCUGAUACUGACGCUGAGGAGCGAAAGCGUGGGGAGCGAACAGG